CUUACUUCUCCGAUAAAUUAUUGAUUUUGAUUUUUUUUUGUCUGGUUUGUUUCUUACCUUAGUCGGAUGUAUCUAAUUUGGUAAAAUAUUAUUGAUUGUGAUUGAGAACAUAAUGCAUCCUUAGAUCGAUUGGUAUGAUUGAGAUAUGUGUGCUUUCUAAAAAACGAUUUUUUUAGAUUUGGAUUGUGUUUGAUCACAUCCAAUGCGUUUCUUUGUUGUUAUCGUUCUUAAAUUUCGUGUGUCUGAAUGAUUAUGACUGUGAUUCUUGUUUCGAUAUUUGUUCACUGAGUGAUCCACAAGUACUCGGUUUCGACCAUUGUCACUGAAUAUUCCAAAACCUCUGUUUCCUAUUGCGGGACAACCAAUGGUGCAUCAUCCAAUGUCAACUUGUAAAAGAAUAUCUGCGAGAAAACAAGCCACAUGGUUCAGCUGGUGGGCUUUAUCACUUUAGAAAUCUAAAUUAACACCCAGGAACCAAUUUCUGGUUAUUGGGAAGGGGUGUCGAUAGACACCAAGGGGAGCGUCGAUCGACACCAUCAAUGUUUGGUUCGACCAGGUUGUUUUUAAUUGUCAUUUCUGGUUUGGUUUGAUUUGAUUGGGUUGUCUAAACCAUGUAUAUAAGAGAAAACUCGACCUAGGUCGUGGAAAGAGGUUGUCUUGGCCGUUCUAAGAGAAAAGAGAGAAGAAAGGUGUUCUUGAGAGUUUGGAGACUUUUGGAGAGAUUCUUGGCUUGUGUAGGAGAUAUGUUGCUGUGGAGUGGAGAUCUGGUGCUAGGAACAAAGGAAAAGGCUUCUGAGGGUUGGUUUCGUCUUUGUUGAGUCAGAAUCUUCCUGCAAAAGAGAUGGUUAAGGGUGGAGCUGUUGCUGGUCGUGGACGCACACGUGGUUGGGGACGCGGUCGUGGUUGUGGUAGAGGCAGAGUCCCAGUAGUGAGUGAGUCUUUUGAGCAGAGUGUGACAGCUGAGGGUGUUGGCGAGUCGCAGGACUUCAAGGAGGGGUCCAUGAGUGUGGCCGGUGGUGAUACUGAUAACACCCGAACCAAUUUCUGGUUAUUGGGAAGGGGUGUCGAUCGACACCAAGGGGAGCGUUGAUCGACACCAUCAAUGUUUGGUUCGACCAGGUUGUUUUUAAUUGUCGUUUCUGGUUUGGUUUGAUUUGAUUGGGUUGUCUAAACCAUGUAUAUAAGGGAAAACUCGACCUAGGUCGUGGAAAGAGGUUGUCUUGGCCGUUCUAAGAGAAAAAAGAGAAGAAAGGUGUUCUUGAGAGUUAGGAGGCUUUUAGAGAGAUUCUUGGCUUGUGUGGUGAGAUUUGUUGCUAUGGAGUGGAGAUUUGGUGCUAGGAACAAAGGAGAAGGCUUCUGAGGGUUGGUUUCGUCUUUGUUGAGUCAGAAUCUUCCUGCAAAAGAGAUGGUUAAGGGUGGAGCUGUUGCUGGUCGUGGACGCACACGUGGUUGGGGACGCGGUCGUGGUUGUGGUAGAGGCAGAGUCCCAGUAGUGAGUGAGUCUUUUGAGCAGAGUGUGACAGCUGAGGGUGUUGGCGAGUCGCAGGACUUCAAGGAGGGGUCCAUGAGUGUGGCCGGUGGUGAUACUGAUAACACCCGAACCAAUUUCUGGUUAUUGGGAAGGGGUGUCGAUCGACACCAAGGGGAGCGUUGAUCGACACCAUCAAUGUUUGGUUCGACCAGGUUGUUUUUAAUUGUCGUUUCUGGUUUGGUUUGAUUUGAUUGGGUUGUCUAAACCAUGUAUAUAAGGGAAAACUCGACCUAGGUCGUGGAAAGAGGUUGUCUUGGCUGUUCUAAGAGAAAAAAGAGAAGAAAGGUGUUCUUGAGAGUUAGGAGGCUUUUAGAGAGAUUCUUGGCUUGUGUGGUGAGAUUUGUUGCUAUGGAGUGGAGAUUUGGUGCUAGGAACAAAGGAGAAGGCUUCUGAGGGUUGGUUUCGUCUUUGUUGAGUCAGAAUCUUCCUGCAAAAGAGAUGGUUAAGGGUGGAGCUGUUGCUGGUCGUGGACGCACACGUGGUUGGGGACGCGGUCGUGGUUGUGGUAGAGGCAGAGUCCCAGUAGUGAGUGAGUCUUUUGAGCAGAGUGUGACAGCUGAGGGUGUUGUCGAGUCGCAGGACUUCAAGGAGGGGUCCAUGAGUGUGGCCGGUGGUGAUACUGAUAACACCCGAACCAAUUUCUGGUUAUUGGGAAGGGGUGUCGAUCGACACCAAGGGGAGCGUUGAUCGACACCAUCAAUGUUUGGUUCGACCAGGUUGUUUUUAAUUGUCGUUUCUGGUUUGGUUUGAUUUGAUUGGGUUGUCUAAACCAUGUAUAUAAGGGAAAACUCGACCUAGGUCGUGGAAAGAGGUUGUCUUGGCUGUUCUAAGAGAAAAAAGAGAAGAAAGGUGUUCUUGAGAGUUAGGAGGCUUUUAGAGAGAUUCUUGGCUUGUGUGGUGAGAUUUGUUGCUAUGGAGUGGAGAUUUGGUGCUAGGAACAAAGGAGAAGGCUUCUGAGGGUUGGUUUCGUCUUUGUUGAGUCAGAAUCUUCCUGCAAAAGAGAUGGUUAAGGGUGGAGCUGUUGCUGGUCGUGGACGCACACGUGGUUGGGGACGCGGUCGUGGUUGUGGUAGAGGCAGAGUCCCAGUAGUGAGUGAGUCUGUUGAGCAGAGUGUGACAGCUGAGGGUGUUGUCGAGUCGCAGGACUUCAAGGAGGGGUCCAUGAGUGUGGCCGGUGGUGGUACUGAUAACACCCGAACCAAUUUCUGGUUAUUGGGAAGGGGUGUCGAUCGACACCAUGGGGAGCGUUGAUCAACACCAUCAAUGUUUGGUUCGACCAGGUUGUUUUUAAUUGUCGUUUCUGGUUUGGUUUGAUUUGAUUGGGUUGUCUAAACCAUGUAUAUAAGGGAAAACUCGACCUAGGUCGUGGAAAGAGGUUGUCUUGGCCGUUCUAAGAGAAAAAAGAGAAGAAAGGUGUUCUUGAGAGUUAGGAGGCUUUUAGAGAGAUUCUUGGCUUGUGUGGUGAGAUUUGUUGCUAUGGAGUGGAGAUUUGGUGCUAGGAACAAAGGAGAAGGCUUCUAAAGGUUGGUUUCGUCUUUGUUGAGUCAAAAUCUUCCUGCAAAAGUGGUGAGUGCAUGACCAUGGCUUAUCUAAGCAUGAGAAUCCUUUGUUUGAUUGAUUUGCUGUGUUUUGUGGUGUUGUUCUUGCUUGUGGUGGUUGUGUUAUGGUUGUUAUAGGUUCCUGAAGCUUUUGGGUGAGUUUGGGGCGGAUUGGAGAUGAUUGGAAACGGAAAUUCGACGAUUGGCUUUGCGCAGAACGCGACUGCGGAUUCGGUGUCGGUCGACACCAUGUUUGGUCCAGUGUCGAUCGACACCACUCAGGUCUCAGUCGACACCAACUUGUUUGAUUCGUGAUUUUCCUGCUUUGUUGUGUUUGUUUGUUGUUUGGUAAACAUUGGGAAUCUCAGUUGCUUGUGUGUAUAGCCUAGUAGAUGGG
Non-coding RNA from Camelina sativa (false flax), 3466 nucleotides. Lineage: Eukaryota; Viridiplantae; Streptophyta; Magnoliopsida; Brassicales; Brassicaceae. The record is from RefSeq and is a predicted model, not a curated record.